AGAGAGAGACAUGCGCGCAUAUCAAUAAGCGGAGGAAAAGAAACUAACAAGGAUUCCCUUAGUAACGGCGAGUGAAGCGGGAAGAGCUCAAAUUUGAAAUCUUCAAGGUUUUACCUUGACGAAUUGUAGUUUAAAGAAGUGUUUUCUGCUGAAGUUUUGGUAAAAGUUCUUUGGAAUAGGACAUCAUAGAGGGUGAGAAUCCCGUAUUUGACCAUUAUUUCAGCUUUGUGAUACACUUUCAAGAGUCGGAUUGUUUGGGAAUGCAGUCCAAAAUGGGUGGUAAAUUUCAUCUAAAGCUAAAUAUUGGCGAGAGACCGAUAGCGAACAAGUACCGUGAGGGAAAGAUGAAAAGAACUUUGAAAAGAGAGUUAAACAGUACGUGAAAUUGUCAAAAGGGAAGCGUUUGACACCAGUGUUGUUUUCUCGAAAAUCAAUUAAAAAUGGCUCGAUUUUGUAUUGUUGAGACCUUAAAAGCUCACUGUACAUUUUUCGUGUCUUUUUUAAUGCACUUUUCGUUUAACAAGUCAACAUCAGUUUCUUUUGUUGUAAAAGGGUCAUUGGAAGGUGGCUUUCUUUUCGGAGAAAGUGUUUAUAAGCCUUUGGCCUCUGCAAUCGGAAGAGACUGAGGUCUGCAGCGUAGACUCUUCGGGGUUAGAUACAUUUGUGCUAAGUUAUAGCUUUUUAUAGACAACUUGUUGACUAUAAUUAGUCUUGUAGCUUACUCGCUUAUGCUAUUUUACCUACGCUUAGGAUGUUGAAGUCAUCGUAUCGCGC
RNAcentral lists this ribosomal RNA (774 nucleotides) under uncultured Neocallimastigales. RNAcentral's name for it is "partial large subunit ribosomal RNA". It matches the Rfam family "Eukaryotic large subunit ribosomal RNA", at positions 23 to 645 of the family's 3401-position model. Lineage: Eukaryota; Fungi; Neocallimastigomycota; Neocallimastigomycetes; Neocallimastigales. The record is from RNAcentral.